UACGAAGGGUGCAAACGUUGUUCGGAUUUACUGGGCGUAAAGCGCGUGUAGGCGGCUUUGCAAGUCGGAUGUGAAAGCCCACGGCUCAACCGUGGAAGUGCAUCCGAAACUGCAUGGCUUGAGUCUCGGAGAGGAAGGUGGAAUGCUUGGUGUAGAGGUGAAAUUCGUAGAUAUCAAGCAGAACACCUGCGGCGAAGGCGGCCUUCUGGACGAUGACUGACGCUGAGACGCGAAAGCGUGGGGAGCAAACAGG
RNAcentral lists this ribosomal RNA (253 nucleotides) under uncultured bacterium. RNAcentral describes it as "partial 16S ribosomal RNA". It matches the Rfam family "Bacterial small subunit ribosomal RNA", at positions 524 to 776 of the family's 1533-position model. The record is from RNAcentral.